Molecule: small nucleolar RNA, 135 nt
Organism: Spea bombifrons (plains spadefoot toad)
Lineage: Eukaryota; Metazoa; Chordata; Amphibia; Anura; Pelobatidae
Product: small nucleolar RNA SNORA51
Exons: 1
Source: RefSeq, a predicted model, not a curated record
UCCCUCCCGAUGCUUACCACAGGCAGUGCUGUCCCUCCCGCUGCCUGUACAGAAAGCGGAGGCAGAGAAACGUCUCCGAAUACACCACAGCGGGGCCGCCCGUGGCCGUGCUGUUUUGUUACCGGCGAGACAGUU